CCAGGAUUGGCUGCCCCCUCAUAACCAUAAGAUAAUUAAAACUGGGGAGGGGCAGAGUAAAAAAAAAACUUUUUUUUUAUCAUCCAGAGGUUAAUGCAAGUGUUUAACAGAUGCUUUACUAUUAAAAUACCCCCCCUACUCUCAAAUAUUGAAGAAUCUUAAACCAGGUAUAGUACCAUCUACUUUCUUUUCUGGUGGGGUGGGCCCGCAGAUUCUGCUUUUUCGAGUGUUUUGUAGGUAACAGAGGCAGAAAAAUGAUCCCAGGCAGACGCGUGCAGUUUUGUUCCGGGCGCCGAGAGCCCAGCGAGGGCGUGGGGACCCCAUUAAGAGGCGCUGCGGGCGGACGCGGUAUCCUCUCCAAGACGCCCGGCGCCCUGGGGAAGGUGGUCCUUCCAGCAGGAACUGGCUGGGAACACUCGUCUUGCCGGCUGUUGGCGGUUGCACCACGUUUCCUCGCUCAGAGCUGCGUGGGGUGGCUCAGGUUAUUGUGACAACUGGUGGAGAUCACGGCUGAGACCCCCUGACAAUCGGUCAGGACCAUUGUAAAUGUUUUUAUUACUCUCAUUCCUCAGGGACAUCAGUCCCAGCGGAGACUUUGGACAGUUUCAAAGUGCGGGCACCUCGAUUCCCCGAAUCUUUGGUGUGGCCGGGAUACGUGUGACCCUGGUUUAAAUAGCCUGUUUGAAGAUGCAGUUCAUUCUUAGGAAAAUACAACGGAAACCAGUCCUCCCCACCCUGGGGUCUUCGCUUUCCUGGUCUGCAUCUGCCUGUGACUUCAGAAAGCCACUUCACGUGGGCCAAGCUGCCUGAAGACCAGCCAGCCGCACAGCGACGGGUGCCACCUAGGCCAGGUGUACCUUUCCGCGCCGCCGAUCCCGGGCAUCUCCUGUCGCCGACUCCUCCUUCCAGCCUUGUCCCUCGAGCGGAGCAGAACUGCAGCUACGCGGGCAUCUUCUGGGGCUUGGUCCCGGCAGGGCGCAGGCUGCACGACGGCGGCGGUAGCCUCGCAGAAAUGCUAGGGGUACCAGAAGCCACCACCCGGAUUUAAGCUGCUCUCCUCCGCCCCUGCCUCCUGAUUCAAUCCUCAUUUUGAGCCCCAACACUUUCUCGAUUCCUAGCACCCCGGAGCCAAUUCUUGGUCGCUCCAGCGGGGCGAGGUCGCGGCUCCGGGAGGGGUGGACCCUCAGUAUCCCCGAGCGUCUGAGGGGACUUUUCGCUGGGGGGGGUAGGAAAGGGUUAAACGCGCCUCCCUCUCACCCUUAUUCUCAAGCCCCUGGCGCUGGGCGAAGGCCACGGUUUCCCUGGUGAGGUCUCAUUAGGGGAACCCUCACUGCUAUUUUCAACAUUUCCUCAAUCAAGUGUCUUUAAAUAGAGCUGCACAAACAAAUUGGCGGCAAAAGCGUAGAUCUUGUCACGAUGGAGACCAAUCCAAUAUUUCAGCCUUGUUUGCUUUGCAAUUAGGGGUUGGCUUGUGGCUGCGGUGCCACAGGGGCAGGUCUGCAACGGUCCGCCUUCUC
Fukomys damarensis (Damara mole-rat) is the source of this 1517-nucleotide long non-coding RNA. RefSeq lists it as uncharacterized. Lineage: Eukaryota; Metazoa; Chordata; Mammalia; Rodentia; Bathyergidae. The record is from RefSeq and is a predicted model, not a curated record. The transcript is spliced from 3 exons.